UACGAAGGUCCCAAGCGUUAUCCGGAUUUAUUGGGUUUAAAGGGUGCGUAGGCGGGUUAUUAAGUCAGUGGUGAAAGCUCCAGCUCAACUGGGAAACUGCCAUUGAUACUGAUAGUCUUGAGUAUGAUUAAGUGGGCGGAAUGUGUCAUGUAGCGGUGAAAUGCUUAGAUAUGACACAGAACACCGAUUGCGAAGGCAGCUCACUAAGCCAUAACUGACGCUGGAUGACACGAAAGCGUGGGGAGCAACAGG
Molecule: ribosomal RNA, 252 nt
Filed under: uncultured bacterium
Lineage: Bacteria
Description: partial 16S ribosomal RNA
Rfam family: Bacterial small subunit ribosomal RNA
Source: RNAcentral